GGCGGACGGGUGAGUAACGCGUGGAUAACCUGCCGUAUACAGGGGGAUAACACUUAGAAAUAGGUGCUAAUACCGCAUAAGCGCACGGUUCCGCAUGGAACAGUGUGAAAAACUCCGGUGGUAUACGAUGGAUCCGCGUCUGAUUAGCCAGUUGGCGGGGUAACGGCCCACCAAAGCGACGAUCAGUAGCCGGCCUGAGAGGGUGAACGGCCACAUUGGGACUGAGACACGGCCCAAACUCCUACGGGAGGCAGCAGUGGGGAAUAUUGCACAAUGGGGGAAACCCUGAUGCAGCGACGCCGCGUGAGUGAAGAAGUAUUUCGGUACGUAAAGCUCUAUCAGCAGGGAAGAAAAAAAGUCCUUUGGACUUUGGACGGUACCUGACUAAGAAGCCCCGGCUAACUACGUGCCAGCAGCCGCGGUAAUACGUAGGGGGCAAGCGUUAUCCGGAUUUACUGGGUGUAAAGGGAGCGUAGACGGCAGCGCAAGUCUGGAGUGAAAUGCCGGGGCCCAACCCCGGAACUGCUUUGGAAACUGUGCAGCUGGAGUGCAGGAGAGGUAAGCGGAAUUCCUAGUGUAGCGGUGAAAUGCGUAGAUAUUAGGAGGAACACCAGUGGCGAAGGCGGCUUACUGGACUGUAACUGACGUUGAGGCUCGAAAGCGUGGGGAGCAAACAGGAUUAGAUACCCUGGUAGUCCACGCCGUAAACGAUGAUUACUAGGUGUCGG
Molecule: ribosomal RNA, 728 nt
Filed under: uncultured bacterium
Lineage: Bacteria
Description: bacterial SSU rRNA
Rfam family: Bacterial small subunit ribosomal RNA
Source: RNAcentral